This is a long non-coding RNA of Sinocyclocheilus rhinocerous, 383 nucleotides long. RefSeq lists it as uncharacterized. The transcript has 3 exons. Lineage: Eukaryota; Metazoa; Chordata; Actinopteri; Cypriniformes; Cyprinidae. The record is from RefSeq and is a predicted model, not a curated record.
CCCAUGAUACAGGAGAAGAUGAAUGUUUUGGAGCAGGUCGGUUUGUCUGAAUCCAACAUUUCAGAGAAGGCAGAAUCUGCCAGCUUUCACAGCAAGGAUCCUCAUCAGCUGACCAUCACUGAGAUGUUCCAGAGGUCCUUUGAUGAGGAGGAGAUGCUUGCUUUAGUUGAUCAAGAUCAAUGAUUGUACAGAUUUCAUACAUUUCCCUGAUCCCCUGAAAUACAGAAGACAAACUUCUCAUCACAUUUACCUCACAAGUAAAAGUUGAAAUAAAGUUUAUUUAUCAUUCCAGAAUAAGAUUACUGACUUUGUGUGAUUAAUGUUAAUCAUGUGUUUGAUUAACAGAUUACUCAAUCUUGAGACAUGGGGCAAAAAAAAAAAGA